AUUUUAUUUACUUUUCUCUAUAUUUUUAUUUUGAUGAAAAAGCUUUUGAAUUCAAAGUAAAUUUUUAGUUUAACCUUUAGAAAAAAUAAAUCUUUAGAAAGUGUUUAGUAUUAUACAGUUUCAUAUUAAAUUAAACGUUGUUAAUAGUAAACAUAAUUUUAGAUUUUGAGUUGAAAGUUUUUUAUAUUGCUAAAUAUGUAUUUUAAAUCUAAUAGAACGGCAAUUUCAAUUUUAAAAAUUGAAAUUGCAUUGUAAAUAUACCCUAACAUCGAAAUUGACAAAUGUUUUAUUUUU
This 294-nucleotide unclassified non-coding RNA is filed under the name Borreliella afzelii. RNAcentral's name for it is "partial 16S-23S ribosomal RNA intergenic spacer". The record is from RNAcentral. Lineage: Bacteria; Pseudomonadati; Spirochaetota; Spirochaetia; Spirochaetales; Borreliaceae.